GAACAACUUUAUUAUGACAAAAUUGUAGAUUUAUGUUCCUCUUUUAGCUAUUUACUUCAACUUCUCUCGGUUUUGCUGUAGUUUGAAGGUGUGUUGUGUAUUCUUCAACCUCUCCUAUUUUAAAAUUAAUUCUUUCACCAAGUUGAAAAUAUGGUUCAAACUUUUGUCUCUUAAAUUUUAAGUAUUAGGCUCUAAAUAGAAGCACAAGCUUUUUCUCUAGUUUGGCUUGACUAGUGACAACUACAUCCAUGGAAAGAGGAAAAGAAAAAUGAGGAGAAAGAAGGGACUGGAAAGCAAAUAGCUCAUCGCUGUAACAGGACAAAUAUUUUGCUUAACUGUUAGGCUAUUUAUGGAGAAACUCCUCUGCGCCUGCGUUAGCUGCCUGUUGUAAUUUAGAGGAAAAUUUAUGAUGGGCAAUUUGAAACAACAUUUGGUGUUUUCGGCAGUUGUUGUCUGUUGUACUUCACGAGGACAUGGUCAAUCUUCUUGAUUUCAUAAAGAAGUUAGAUAAUGAAUGUGUGCAAAUUUCAGUUCUUAACAAGGAUCGAAUUGAAGAGCUGACAUUUGUGUCCGCAUUUUUUCAUCAUUAUCACUAUCUCUUGGCAGAAGGUUGUAAUGAAGAAAUCAUGUCUUGCAUAUCAAAUGAGAUUCAUGAUCUGGUUCAGUCACGUUUUCGUCAGAGUGGAGAAGAAAUGCUGGUUAAAUUAAUGGAUCAUGAGAUUCCUCGCCUCUUGGAAAAUGUCAGAAGUUGUAUUAGCUCAUAUAGUAAUGCAGAAUCAAGUGAUGUGACCAUGACCGAGGAUCAUUUGGUUGAACUUUUGGAUGCCAUCGUCAUGUAUCUCCAAUAUCUACACAAGUAUUGUUCUGAGUUGACUCAAUAUGAGCAUAUUGACGAAAGUAGUAUAUAUUUGGAUUUAUUUGA
Capsicum annuum is the source of this 922-nucleotide long non-coding RNA. RefSeq lists it as uncharacterized. The record is from RefSeq and is a predicted model, not a curated record. The transcript is spliced from 2 exons. NCBI's taxonomy places the organism in Eukaryota, Viridiplantae, Streptophyta, Magnoliopsida, Solanales, Solanaceae.